UUAGCCAAAUCCCUUUCUCUCUCCCACCCUACCCGAUCCAUACUUUCCUUUCUCCCUCUCUCUCUCUCGUAUGCUCUCUGCUAGUCCCGAACGGCUGCCCUUCGAUGGUCGUCGUCGUGCAGACAUCAGAUCAGGAGAACCAGACACCACCGAAACUCCCCUCGCGAGCCCUUCGUUGCCGUUCUCCGCCGCGAGCAGAAGCCUCCAGGCUCGUACGUCGCUGUCGUGGCUUCAAGGCCAGUUUCUGGCCUCCUCCGACAUCGUCUAAGGAGAAAGGUAGCAUGGGUGAACUCAGGGUAUCAAGACGAACAAAGCCCAGCCAAUGAUCGGGCUUUUAAGUGACCGGAGGAUCAGGCUAAAAUAUUGAUAAGGUUGUUCGUGAGCAUGACCCGAAAGGUAGAGAUGUUGAACUAUUUCGCUGGCAUCUAUAUGGUGAUGGGAAUAAGGAAUAUCACAGGAUUGACUUUUAGGUGGAUGUCUAGAUUUAUUAGGAAGAAUAUUAACAAAAGAAACAUGAUUGAGCUUGAAGUGAUUUGGAGAAGAUAAUUAUAUUGUCUUGUUGAGAUUUAUUGUAUUAUAUAUUUUGAAGUUUAUAGAUUUAUAAUAUUAUAAUGAAUUUUUAUUGAGAAUUAUUUAGUCUCAUGGGGAUUUGAUGUAUUUAUAUUUCAAUUGUAUGAAUAAAUGUUGUAUGUAUAUGAAUUUUUAUUAUGAUAAAUAUAAUUUUUUUUUACAAAUUAUGGUAAUAAUAACUAAUUAUGUGAGUAAUUUUUUUAUUUAAAUUUAUAUCAAACUUCAAUUGUUAAAAAUAUAAUUAAAAGUUUUAAAAAAUAUUUAUCAAAAAAUAAAUUUUUUUAUACAUAAAUUUAAUGUUACGGCGACACGUAUUAACUGUUGGCGUUGCCAGUAACGACGACUCUUAUUAACUGUCGGCGUUGUAAGCAACGGUGACACGUAUUAACUGUCGGCGUUGCCAGCAACAACGACACCUAUUAAUUGUCGGCAUUGCUAGCAACGGCGACACGUAUUAACUGUCGGCGUUGUCAGCAAUGGCGACACCUAUUAACUGUCGGUAUAGCCAGCAAUGACGACACUUAUUAACUGUCGGCGUAGCUACCCUACGCUGACAUAGGCAAAUACGACAGUUAGUCGACUGUCGUCAUUGUUCAAUAGUGACAGUUAAAAACUGUCGGGAAAGCCCGUUUUUGUAGUAGUGUAUGUUUAUUCUUGAGAACUUAAGAAGAUUUUGGCUGGAAACCAAAGAAUUGAAGGCUUGGGUUAGGAUUUGAGAUUGGUUGUGGCUAGGAGAGCAUCAUUCAUAGCAGAGGUAAUGCUUUAAUCCCUGUUCCAAUUGAAUUUCUGCCAUGUUUUCCUUAAGCUUUGAGGUGUUCUUGACCUUGUGGCUCAAGUAUGAGAUUUUGGAUUUUUGGUGGGUCUUUAAUUUAGAUUUUAGUUGGGUUUUGUUGAUGGGAAGAUACUAAAGUUGUUAUGGAGAUUAAAUUGUGGUUUUAGAAUUGAAUUGGGAUAGUUUUGAUUGGGUUGGCUGAAGAAGAACCAGAGAAAUUAUGGGUUCGUGGGGGCGGGCCGUAGCUCUGUUCUUGGGGUGUCGCAACCCUUUUGAAUCCAGGGGCCAAGGAGGGUGUCUGACACGAAGGCGCGCUGCGCCGCCUGUUUGGUUGCGCCGCAAUGCGUGUCCAAUGAGAAGGGAGGAUGAGGCCUCUAACUUGGGUGGACCGCAGUGCAGGUUCCUGGGGCCAUGGCACUUAAGGGGUUUUGAGCUCGGGAGGGAUUUUGAGUGUUGGAACUCAAACCUAAGGGCUCGGGAUUGAUUCUACUACCCGGUUUAGUAGAAUUCGAGGUCCUGAAGGCUAGGACAUGGUCUGAAAGCCUUUAUUUGCUAAUUUUUGAUGGAAUCCUAUAUUAUGGUUGUGACUAGGUUAUCACUAGGGGAUCGGAACUGGGAUCGUGCUCGAGGGUCCUUCUUAUUUAUGCUAUACUCGGACCUGAGGUAAGAAAACUACCCCCCCCCAAUACACGAUAUAUGUGAUUAGGGAUUGGCCCGACCAUUAAUAAUAGUUAUGAAUUGGGCUUGGGCCCCUGAGAAUGAUUAUGUUUAUGUUAUUGUUUCCCUUGUUGAUUGAACAUACUUGAAUAUUUUGUACCUGACUAAGUGUUACAUGAUUGUUCUCAUGGUUUGCGUACUAGGGCUUAUCCUCGUUAAGGAGCAUGGUUAUUGCUAUGUUUGUGAUUUCUUAAUGAUAAAUUAUGAUUAAUAUGUAUGCAUGCUUGUAUUGUUGAAGUAUGCCUAUAUGUAUCUCUUUCUGUAUCUGUAUUUGAAUAUCUGGUUUAAGGCUUGAAUUAUUAGUCAAGGACGGAAAUAGUGCGCUAUGCGCUGGUCGAAAGGCUUAGGCCUAAAUCAGCAGCGUACUACUACGUUGGUCAACCCAAUGGUCGUUGAAAAAAAAGGCAUUUGGCUAGCUCUAUGGCUAGUUACCCAGAGCUAAGGGCGAGGUCCCUAGGUGACUCUAUGGUCACUUAACUAGGGCAAAGGGCCUUGGGUUGACUCUAUGGUCAACUAGUUAGGGCAGCGGCCCCAAAAUGGUCCAAUGACCAUUUAUUUGUAAUUGUAUGCCUGCAUGAGUAGGUUAUUCCUGUUGGACAUACUAGAUAAGUAUUUGGAAAUCUAUAUUCUCUGUUCAUGCACAUGUUUUAGUUUUCUUGCUGAGCCUCGGCUCACGAGUGCUUCAUGGUGCAUGUAAGGGAAAAGCAAAGCUUAACCAACCAUGAGUUGGAGAGCUUCGGUGGAGGCGUGUACAUAUGCGACUACUCAUCCACCACGACCGAUGAUGUCUCAGAGGAGCUAGGGUUGUAGCCCUGAUUUUUCCGCUUAGAAGCUACUCAGUCUCCACCGUUAGAAUUUCCUCCUGAUGGCCCAGUUGGCCGUCAGUCAUAAGCUCGCUUGCAAAGCCAAAGAUGCCCAAACGAGAGCUGAGGAUGACCUUAAGUAAGCCAAGGGAAAAUUGGUUACUGCAAAGACCGAGAUUGAGUGUCAGAAGAUCGAAUUUGAUCGUUCUAAAGCCGAUCAUGAUGCCACCAAGGCUAAGCUUCAUCGUGUAAAGAUUGAGCUCGAGACUAAAACUUCCAAGUUCAACUCUUUGAAACCAGAGCUCAAUUUCCUUCAGAAUCAAGUUGCCCAGCUCGAAGAGGAGAAGAAAGCCACAUUUGAUGUGAUGGAGGAAGAGAAGAACUGUCUCACAGAAGAAUUCAAAACCAAGAAAGAAGCUUCUAUGAAUCCCGACAUUGACACUUCCUUCCUAGGUUACAAGGAGGAAGCUGCCAAAGUCACAACUCAAGAGGCUGGUACCAGCGGGUAGAAGGGUGUUGAAGUGGAAUCUGCGACUACAUAGCAGUCAAAAAAACUAUAAGGGCUUCGACCCUUAUUUUGAAUUUGUAAAUAUUUAAGGUCCUUGCCCCAAGACAAUUUUAUUGCUCGAAUGGUUGAGCCAUUUUAUAUUUUGAUGCUAUACACUUUAGUUGUUAA
Long non-coding RNA from Humulus lupulus (European hop), 3538 nucleotides. RefSeq lists it as uncharacterized. The record is from RefSeq and is a predicted model, not a curated record. NCBI's taxonomy places the organism in Eukaryota, Viridiplantae, Streptophyta, Magnoliopsida, Rosales, Cannabaceae. The transcript has 3 exons.